AAGCUCGUAGUUGAAUUUCGGGGUUAGUAGGUUGGUCAUGCCUCUGGUAUGUACUGGUCUCACUGAUUCCUCCUUCCUUAUGAACCGUAAUGCCAUUAAUUUGGUGUUGCGGGGAAUUUGGACUGUUACUUUGAAAAAAUUAGAGUGUUUAAAGCAAGCUAACGCUUGAAUACAUUAGCAUGGAAUAAUGAAAUAGGACGUUCGAUCUUAUUUUGUUUGGUUUUCUAGGGUAUUGACGUAAUGAUUAAUAGGAUAGUUGGG
RNAcentral lists this ribosomal RNA (261 nucleotides) under uncultured Glomus. RNAcentral's name for it is "partial 18S ribosomal RNA". It matches the Rfam family "Eukaryotic small subunit ribosomal RNA", at positions 624 to 885 of the family's 1831-position model. The record is from RNAcentral. Lineage: Eukaryota; Fungi; Glomeromycota; Glomeromycetes; Glomerales; Glomeraceae.